CCUACGGGGGGCUGCAGUCGAGAAUCAUUCACAAUGGGGGAAACCCUGAUGGUGCGACGCCGCGUGGGGGAAUGAAGGUCUUCGGAUUGUAAACCCCUGUCAUGUGGGAGCAAAUUAAAAAGAUAGUACCACAAGAGGAAGAGACGGCUAACUCUGUGCCAGCAGCCGCGGUAAUACAGAGGUCUCAAGCGUUGUUCGGAAUCACUGGGCGUAAGGCGUGCGUAGGCGGUUUCGUAAGUCGUGUGUGAAAGGCGCGGGCUCAACCCGCGGACUGCACAUGAUACUGCGAGACUAGAGUAAUGGAGGGGGAACCGGAAUUCUCGGUGUAGCAGUGAAAUGCGUAGAUAUCGAGAGGAACACUCGUGGCGAAGGCGGGUUCCUGGACAUUAACUGACGCUGAGGCACGAAGGCCAGGGGAGCGAAAGGGAUUAGAUACCCCAGUAGUC
RNAcentral lists this ribosomal RNA (446 nucleotides) under uncultured bacterium. RNAcentral describes it as "partial 16S ribosomal RNA". It matches the Rfam family "Bacterial small subunit ribosomal RNA", at positions 338 to 795 of the family's 1533-position model. The record is from RNAcentral.